RNAcentral lists this ribosomal RNA (364 nucleotides) under uncultured bacterium. RNAcentral's name for it is "bacterial SSU rRNA". It matches the Rfam family "Bacterial small subunit ribosomal RNA", at positions 29 to 416 of the family's 1533-position model. The record is from RNAcentral.
AACGAACGCUGGCGGCAUGCCUAACACAUGCAAGUCGAACGAGACCUUCGGGUCUAGUGGCGCACGGGUGCGUAACGCGUGGGAAUCUGCCCUUAGGUACGGAAUAACUCAGGGAAACUUGAGCUAAUACCGUAUAAUGACUUCGGUCCAAAGAUUUAUCGCCUAAGGAUGAGCCCGCGUCGGAUUAGCUAGUUGGUGAGGUAAAAGCUCACCAAGGCGACGAUCCGUAGCUGGCUGAGAGGAUGAUCAGCCACACUGGGACUGAGACACGGACCCAGACUCCUACGGGAGGCAGCAGUGGGGAAGUAUUGGACAAUGGGCGGAAAGACCUGAUGCAGCAAUGCCGCGUGAGUGAUAGAAGGCC